UUUCUAGACAAGUGACUUUUACAGAAUUGAGAGAAUUCAUAUCCAUUCAACACCUACUUGGACUACAAGAUAAAACGACCCUCACAAAGAGCUGCGCUACUUUUCUGCUGAACACUGGAGAGAACAUUUGACGUUAAUGAAGGCUGCAAAGAGCAUUUUGUGCCAGAAAGACACCAACGUAGGAGACUUUUCCAGAAAGGAGAAAAAUCAUUAAGCCGCUUGGGUUGAAAUUCGCAUUGGAACGAAAUGCUAUAAGACCUCUUCUGGAAAUUGCAAAUAUUCACUUCCAGGGACAACAGUAAUUCAGGCACAGAAGACAUCCACACUGAUCCUUGUCCAGCACUCUUCUACACAAAAGAAGUGUUGUCCUCUGCCAGAGUCGUUUUUCUCUUAGCCUAAGCAAGAGUGAACGUGAUCAAUAAAUAUACGUGUUUGGCUUUUUACGCAUUGUGUUUUAGUCUUUUUGUUGAAAUCCCACUGACAUGAAAUGAGAUCUGAGAGCUUCAUGACCCUACAAAUGCUCAGCUCUACAUAAAAGAGUUCAUGUAGAAAGGGAAGAUACCUACAAUGAUUCUGGAACUCUAGUAUACUGCACAAUAGGAAUAGGAUGUUCUGCAUGCUGCUUUUUUCUCCUGUCCCGCUAAAUCGUAUUAAUCUAUAACAUUAAUUGAAUGUAUUUUUCUCUCGAUUAUAUGAAAUCAUAUGCAUUCAAACCUACCUAGCACAAAAUAUUAUAGAAGAGGAUCAUGAAACGUCAACUGUUCAGUUCCACGUGAAACAUUAGUACAGAAACAGAAGAAAGUUACAGCGAUCUUGGUAGUAUAACUUGCGGUGCUCCAGGAGAAUAGUCUCGUGCGUGUGCCUAUUUUUCUUCUGUGUUGUUCGGUAAGCUUGUUGAAUAAGAAAGCCGAAUAAGAAAUAUGAAAGCUUGUUGAAUAAGAAAGCUUGUUGAAUAAGAAAGCAGUGUCCGUUUCUCUUCUUCCUACGAAAGACAUUUAACUUGUAACCCACAUGGCACAAAACGCCAUGGGCAGUCUUCUUCACAUUUCAAAUGGUCAGUAUUUACAACAGCAUUUCAGUAACUCAAGAUAACCACACUGAUCCUGGCUUCACAGAGUUCAGCACAAAGGGAACUUAAUCUUGGCAACAGUCAUUUUUCUUCUAGCUUUCUAAGAAAGGGUGAAUAAGUUCACUGAGUGCUAGCUUUGUCCAGUCUGUAAAAAAGUCACUUGCACUGAAAUCCUUUGGCCACAAGGAUUUUUUACUGCUAAGUAAGUGGGUUUCCUUAACUAGUUUACUAAAUUCAGAGUGAUGAAGGUACGUAAGUUUCUGUCCAAGAUCCUUGCGUUGAAAACCGCAUGUCGCAAAAUGCCCAAAUCAACUCGGCUUCAAAUUGCAAAUAUUAGGUUUCGUGUGCAAC
Long non-coding RNA from Ornithorhynchus anatinus (platypus), 1420 nucleotides. RefSeq lists it as uncharacterized. The transcript is spliced from 3 exons. The record is from RefSeq and is a predicted model, not a curated record. NCBI's taxonomy places the organism in Eukaryota, Metazoa, Chordata, Mammalia, Monotremata, Ornithorhynchidae.